RNAcentral lists this ribosomal RNA (466 nucleotides) under uncultured bacterium. RNAcentral describes it as "partial 16S ribosomal RNA". It matches the Rfam family "Bacterial small subunit ribosomal RNA", at positions 28 to 507 of the family's 1533-position model. The record is from RNAcentral.
GACGAACGCUGGCGGCGUGCUUAACACAUGCAAGUCGAACGGAAAGGCCCUGCUUGCAGGGUCCUCGAGUGGCGAACGGGUGAGUAACACGUGGGUGAUCUGCCCUGCACUUCGGGAUAAGCUUGGGAAACUGGGUCUAAUACCGGAUAGGAGCCAUCUUUAGUGUGGUGGUUGGAAAGUUUUUUCGGUGUAGGAUGAGCUCGCGGCCUAUCAGCUUGUUGGUGGGGUAAUGGCCUACCAAGGCGGCGACGGGUAGCCGGCCUGGGAGGGUGUACGGCCACAUUGGGGCUGAGAUACGGCCCAGACUCCUACGGGGGGCAGCAGUGGGGAAUAUUGCACAAUGGGCGCAAGCCUGAUGCAGCGACGCCGCGUGGGGGAUGAAGGCCUUCGGGUUGUAAACUCCUUUCGCUAGGGACGAAGCUUUUUUGUGACGGUACCUAGAUAAGAAGCACCGGCUAACUACGUG